GGGGAAUAUUGGACAAUGGGCGCAAGCCUGAUCCAGCAAUGCCGCGUGUGUGAAGAAGGCCUUCGGGUUGUAAAGCACUUUUAUCAGGAGCGAAAUCUGCAUGCUUAAUACGUGUGCAGUCUGACGGUACCUGAGGAAUAAGCACCGGCUAACUUCGUGCCAGCAGCCGCGGUAAUACGUAGGUGGCGAACGUUGUCCGGAUUCACUGGGCGUAAAGCGCGCGCAGGCGGAUCAGUAAGUCUGAUGUGAAAGCUCCCGGCUCAACUGGGAGAAGCCAUCGGAUACUGCUGAUCUUGAGACACUUAGAGGAGAGUGGAAUUCCCGGUGUAGUGGUGGAAUGCGUAGAUAUCGGGAGGAACACCAGUGGCGAAAGCGGCUCUCUGGGAGUGUUCUGACGCUGAGGCGCGAAAGCGUGGGGAGCAAA
This 424-nucleotide ribosomal RNA is filed under the name uncultured bacterium. Its description in RNAcentral is "bacterial SSU rRNA". It matches the Rfam family "Bacterial small subunit ribosomal RNA", at positions 356 to 772 of the family's 1533-position model. The record is from RNAcentral.